Gasterosteus aculeatus aculeatus (three-spined stickleback) is the source of this 434-nucleotide long non-coding RNA. The record is from Ensembl. NCBI's taxonomy places the organism in Eukaryota, Metazoa, Chordata, Actinopteri, Perciformes, Gasterosteidae.
CGCAGCUCCCUUCCUGCUGUACUCCUCCACUGCUUUUUACGUUUCUUCACACAAAACUUCAGUUGUGUGCUUCUUUGCUUUUGUGGUUUUCGGGGAGGCGUCUCCGCCCCCCAACAGGUGGCAUCCCCCGUGGACUGUGACAGAGGUCCGCGAGGAAGGCAGCGAUGAGCAGGAUUUGCAACAAUUUGUCGCUUUGAAGGUUCUAAAGAGGUGACCGAAGGUGCCCCUUGCAAUCGCUCAUCCUUUUUAGGAGGGAGAAAGUGGAGCCGGUUGGCCUAUGAACAAUGAAGUUAUAGGCGAGUGCGGCUUUGUGAUGGCUGCUGGCCUCGGCAGACGGGGAGAAUGGCCCACAAACGCACAGCUGUUUCUAAUCGGUAACUCCGCACCAAUGGCUGACCUACAUUCUGGUGCUUGAACCCGUGGCCCUGCCAAAC